AUUACAGGGGUGCCACGGCUGAGACCGUCAAACGACGGAACCCAACCUGAUCCGGAUAAUGCCGGCGUAGGGACGUAAUGAA
RNAcentral lists this non-coding RNA (82 nucleotides) under bovine gut metagenome. The record is from RNAcentral.